RNAcentral lists this ribosomal RNA (478 nucleotides) under uncultured bacterium. RNAcentral's name for it is "partial 16S ribosomal RNA". It matches the Rfam family "Bacterial small subunit ribosomal RNA", at positions 355 to 824 of the family's 1533-position model. The record is from RNAcentral.
UGGGGAAUUUUGGACAAUGGGCGCAAGCCUGAUCCAGCCAUGCCGCGUGCGGGAAGAAGGCCUUCGGGUUGUAAACCGCUUUUGUCAGGGAAGAAAUCUUCUGAGUUAAUACCUCGGGAGGAUGACGGUACCUGAAGAAUAAGCACCGGCUAACUACGUGCCAGCAGCCGCGGUAAUACGUAGGGUGCAAGCGUUAAUCGGAAUUACUGGGCGUAAAGCGUGCGCAGGCGGUUUUGUAAGACAGAGGUGAAAUCCCCGGGCUCAACCUGGGAACUGCCUUUGUGACUGCAAGGCUUGAGUGCGGCAGAGGGGGGAUGGAAUUCCGCGUGUAGCAGUGAAAUGCGUAGAUAUGCGAAGGAACACCGAUGGCGAAGGCAAUCCCCUGGGCCUGCACUGACGCUCAUGCACGAAAGCGUGGGGAGCAAACAGGAUUAGAUACCCUGGUAGUCCACGCCCUAAACGAUGUCAACUGGUUGUU